Molecule: ribosomal RNA, 466 nt
Filed under: uncultured bacterium
Lineage: Bacteria
Description: partial 16S ribosomal RNA
Rfam family: Bacterial small subunit ribosomal RNA
Source: RNAcentral
GAUGAACGCUGGCGGCGUGCUUAACACAUACAAGUCGAACGGUGAAAGAGAGCUUGCUCUCUGGAUCAGUGGCGAACGGGUGAGUAACACGUGAGCAAUCUGCCCCUGACUCUGGGAUAAGCGCUGGAAACGGCGUCUAAUACCGGAUACGAGCUGCGAAGGCAUCUUCAGCAGCUGGAAAGAACUUCGGUCAGGGAUGAGCUCGCGGCCUAUCAGCUAGUUGGUGAGGUAACGGCUCACCAAGGCGUCGACGGGUAGCCGGCCUGAGAGGGUGACCGGCCACACUGGGACUGAGACACGGCCCAGACUCCUACGGGAGGCAGCAGUGGGGAAUAUUGCACAAUGGGCGAAAGCCUGAUGCAGCAACGCCGCGUGAGGGACGACGGCCUUCGGGUUGUAAACCUCUUUUAGCAGGGAAGAAGCGAAAGUGACGGUACCUGCAGAAAAAGCACCGGCUAACUACGUG